CACCCACAACGGUUAAUUUUCAAUUUUCAGUUUCCAUAUUGGUAUGGCAUUCGCUAAAGGAAUUGAUUGAACCCCUAAAUCAACCAAGAAAUUGAAUUAAAAGCGUUACCCUUUUUCUUUUUCAGCCGCCCCAAUUGCAAAAACCCCAAGCUAUGAAUUUUCACUGAUUCACCAAUUUCUUCACUCGAAUUGCAAUGGGGGUUGGAGGCCACUUCUGGGAUUUGCUCAAACCCUACGCCCGAUUCCAAGGCUUUGAUUUCCUCAGAAACAAACGCGUUGCAGUGGAUUUGUCGUAUUGGAUUGUGCAGCAGGAGACCGCCAUUAAAGGGUACAUUAGAAACUCCCAUAUUCGCACAACCUUUUUCCGAACGGUCAAUCUUUUCUCCAAGUUUGGAGCCUACCCGGUCUUUGUACUCGAUGGGACUCCGUCCCCGUUAAAAUCUCAGGCAAGGAUAAUGCGGUACUUCCGAUCAUCUGGUAUGGACAUGUCAAGUUUGCCAGAAGCAGAGAAAGGUGUAUCAGUUGAAAGGAAUCGAGCCUUUAAGAAAUGUAUUGAAGAAUGUGUGGAAUUGCUCGAACUCCUUGGAAUGCCUAUAUUGAAAGCCAAAGGAGAAGCUGAAGCUCUCUGUGCUCAGUUAAAUAGGGAAGGACAUGUCGAUGCUUGUAUCACUGCUGACAGUGAUGCAUUUCUAUAUGGUGCCCAGUGUGUGGUAAAGCGAAUCCAGCCAAACUCGAAAGAGCCGUUUGAGUGCUACCAUAUAUCUGAUAUUGAGACAGGUCUUGGUCUAAGGAGAAAUCACUUGAUAGCUAUUUCUUUGAUGGUUGGAAGCGAUCAUGAUUUAAAUGGUAUAAAUGGAAUUGGGCUUGAAACUGCAGUUCGCUUUGUCAAAAUUUUUAGUGAAGAUGAAAUAUUGAACAGGCUGCAUGACGUAGCCAAAGGAGAACCACUGGUGAUCCAGGGACACAAUACUGCUGAAGAUGAAUCUGCAAGCUGUUCGAAUGAUAAAUCCUUGAAGCUAAGAAUACCUCACUGUUCUCACUGUGGCCAUCCAGGAAAUAAAAAAGCCCAUCUCAAGUUUUCUUGUGAACAUUGCAACUCAACUGCUGGCCAGAGUUGUUCUCACAAACCAGCCGGAUUCAAAUGUUUGUGCACUUCAUGUGACUUGGACAGAGAAGAAAAAGCUAAGCAGAAAGACGCCUCCUGGAAACUUACAGUUUGCCGAAAGAUUGCAUCACAGGAAAAUUUUCCAAAUGAUGAAAUUGUACAGAUGUACCUGAGCAACCAUAAUGGAAUUGACGAUAGGCCACAUUUACGAUGGGCAAGUCCCAACACGGAAAUGCUGGUUGAUUACCUUGCUUAUCAGCAACACUGGGAACCAUCUUAUAUUAGGCAAAGAAUACUACCAAUGUUAUCAACAUUAUAUUUACGAGAUAUGGCCUCAGCCCCAACCAGUGACUUACUAUAUGGAUCGUACAAGUUUCAUAGCAUUCAGCGUGUUAAGACAAGAUACGGACAUCAAUCCUAUGUUGUUAAAUGGAAGAAGGCUGCUGCCAGUUUGAGGGAUGCUGCCAACCCAAUUCCUCAAGAAUCUGAUUUACCGUUGGUAGUAGACCUCGAUGAACCUUUUGAUUUGACUGAAGAUACGGAUGCUCCUUAUAUUCAUAUUGAAAAUGGAGGUUGUUUUUUGUCGACUGAUGAAGAUAUGGAGCUUGUACAGAAGGCUUUUCCAGAGGAAGCCAACCAAUUUUUGAAGGAAAAGGAGUUGAAAGAAAUGGUGUUGAAAAGAAAGAAAUCAAACUCGGGCACUGAAGCAACACCUGAAAAAACAGAAUCAUCCACAUCCAGCGGAGUGCAGCUAAGCAUUAAAGAGUUUUAUCGUUCCUCCAAACUGCGUAACUCAAGCAAGCCUGAGGAGGAUUCCGAGAAGGGAUCUGGUUCCUCCAACGACAAAAGGAGAGAUCCAAGUCCAAGAUUUUCCAAGUCCGCCAGACGGCGCCUUCUAUUUGAUUGAUUCCGCCACCCUCUCGUGACACUUUGCUUCUGUAAAUUAACCUGCAUUAGUCUAACAUAAGAUAUCACCUGUUUCUGAUGCUGCCAUUGUUGAAACGAACAAGGCUUCUUCCUCGAUUGAGGAUGCAGAGUGCUUGAACCAGAAACAGAAGACUGAGGAGUUACGGCAGGAGAGAAGUGAAGAUAGCAACGACAAUCACCGGAAAGGGUUGAAGCCAAGGCUUACUUGGACAAAAGAAAUGCAUCAGAAGUUCUUGGAUGCCAUUGAAAUAUUGGGAAAUGGCAUUUCGUCUUGUUUUGGCAGAUGCGGUUCCCAAGAAAAUAGUUGAAGUUAUGGGCGUUCCCAGGCUUAGCAGGGAGAACGUUGCUAGCCAUUUGCAGAAAUAUCGUUUCAUGAAACAAGCGGAAUAUUUCCCGCGCUCACGUGCCAGUGAUAAUGCGAGAAACAUGAUGCAACUCAGAGCGAUAAACAUGAUGCAACUGAGAGCGAAACAAUAUUGUUCAUCUUCUGACAACUCCAACACCAGCGAAGGUGGAAAUCAUGAUUAAUGGAAUACAAAAGACAUACCACCAGUUUAAUAUAUUACAAGAAUUUUAUGACAUCGUUUUAGUAAAGAUGACUAGCCAUAUAUAGUAUACAUAUAUAUCAACUUGU
Non-coding RNA from Salvia hispanica, 2666 nucleotides. Lineage: Eukaryota; Viridiplantae; Streptophyta; Magnoliopsida; Lamiales; Lamiaceae. The record is from RefSeq and is a predicted model, not a curated record.